This 253-nucleotide ribosomal RNA is filed under the name uncultured bacterium. Its description in RNAcentral is "partial 16S ribosomal RNA". It matches the Rfam family "Bacterial small subunit ribosomal RNA", at positions 524 to 776 of the family's 1533-position model. The record is from RNAcentral.
UACAGAGGGUGCGAGCGUUGUCCGGAAUCACUGGGCGUAAAGGGCGCGUAGGUGGCGCUCCAAGUCCAUGGUGAAAGCUCGAUGCUCAACAUCGAGUCGGCCACGGAUACUGGAGGGCUGGAGCACUGUAGGGGCAGAUGGAAUUCCGGGUGUAGCGGUGGAAUGCGUAGAGAUCCGGAAGAACACCGGUGGCGAAGGCGGAUCUCUGGGCCUGUCCUGACGCUGAGGCGCGAAAGCUAGGGGAGCGAACAGG